RNAcentral lists this ribosomal RNA (636 nucleotides) under Lichtheimia corymbifera. Its description in RNAcentral is "eukaryotic LSU rRNA". The stretch from base 338 to 491 matches the Rfam family "5.8S ribosomal RNA". The record is from RNAcentral. Lineage: Eukaryota; Fungi; Mucoromycota; Mucoromycetes; Mucorales; Lichtheimiaceae.
CAUUACUGAGAGGUCUAAAAAACCACUAGUUGGGGGUCUCUUCCCCUCUAGUAGUUCCUCACAGUUUUGUGCAAAGUCGGGUCAACUUGGUUGGCUCUGCCUUGUGCUGUAGAUCUGGUUGUUGGCAUAGAGACCCUCCUUUUAGGAGACUUGUGCCACUACUAAGAUCUAGGCUGCUUGAAAAGAGACGUAUGGACCCUUCUUUCAGGAGACCUAUGUCUCGAGUCAAAGCAAGCAAGGCAAGCCUUUGGGGCUCUAGUACUAACUAUCCCCAAAGGUGUUUAUUCUUCUCGUGUAAACCAUGAUGUACGAAAAAGUUAGUUGUUAACUUAAAAACAACUCUUGGCAAUGGAUCUCUUGGUUCUCGCAUCGAUGAAGAGCGUAGCAAAGUGCGAUAAUUAUUGCGACUUGCAUUCAUAGCGAAUCAUCGAGUUCUCGAACGCAUCUUGCGCCUAGUAGUCAAUCUACUAGGCACAGUUGUUUCAGUAUCUGCAACUACCAAUCAGUUCAACUUGGUUCUUUGAACCUAAGCGAGCUGGAAAUGGGCUUGUGUUGAUGGCAUUCAGUUGCUGUCAUGGCCUUAAAUACAUUUAGUCCUAGGCAAUUGGCUUUAGUCAUUUGCCGGAUGUAGACUCU